RNAcentral lists this ribosomal RNA (724 nucleotides) under Actinomycetes bacterium. Its description in RNAcentral is "bacterial SSU rRNA". It matches the Rfam family "Bacterial small subunit ribosomal RNA", at positions 55 to 795 of the family's 1533-position model. The record is from RNAcentral. Lineage: Bacteria; Bacillati; Actinomycetota; Actinomycetes.
AUGCAAGUCGAACGAUGAAGCCUUUCGGGGUGGAUUAGUGGCGAACGGGUGAGUAACACGUGGGCAAUCUGCCCUGCACUCUGGGACAAGCCCUGGAAACGGGGUCUAAUACCGGAUACGACACAUCACUGCAUGGUGAAUGUGUGGAAAGCUCCGGCGGUGCAGGAUGAGCCCGCGGCCUAUCAGCUUGUUGGUGGGGUAAUGGCCUACCAAGGCGACGACGGGUAGCCGGCCUGAGAGGGCGACCGGCCACACUGGGACUGAGACACGGCCCAGACUCCUACGGGAGGCAGCAGUGGGGAAUAUUGCACAAUGGGCGAAAGCCUGAUGCAGCGACGCCGCGUGAGGGAUGACGGCCUUCGGGUUGUAAACCUCUUUCAGCAGGGAAGAAGCGAAAGUGACGGUACCUGCAGAAGAAGCACCGGCUAACUACGUGCCAGCAGCCGCGGUAAUACGUAGGGUGCGAGCGUUGUCCGGAAUUAUUGGGCGUAAAGAGCUCGUAGGCGGCUUGUCACGUCGGAUGUGAAAGCCCGGGGCUUAACCCCGGGUCUGCAUUCGAUACGGGCAGGCUAGAGUUCGGUAGGGGAGAUCGGAAUUCCUGGUGUAGCGGUGAAAUGCGCAGAUAUCAGGAGGAACACCGGUGGCGAAGGCGGAUCUCUGGGCCGAUACUGACGCUGAGGAGCGAAAGCGUGGGGAGCGAACAGGAUUAGAUACCCUGGUAGUC